Molecule: ribosomal RNA, 498 nt
Filed under: uncultured bacterium
Lineage: Bacteria
Description: partial 16S ribosomal RNA
Rfam family: Bacterial small subunit ribosomal RNA
Source: RNAcentral
AUUGAACGCUGGCGGCAUGCCUUACACAUGCAAGUCGAACGGUAACAGGUCUUCGGAUGCUGACGAGUGGUGAACGGGUGAGUAAUACAUCGGAACGUGCCCGAGAGUGGGGGAUAACGAAGCGAAAGCUUUGCUAAUACCGCAUACGAUCUCAGGAUGAAAGCAGGGGACCGCAAGGCCUUGCGCUCACGGAGCGGCCGAUGGCAGAUUAGGUAGUUGGUGGGAUAAAAGCUUACCAAGCCGACGAUCUGUAGCUGGUCUGAGAGGACGACCAGCCACACUGGGACUGAGACACGGCGCAGAAUCCUACGGGAGGCAGCAGUGGGGAAUUUUGGACAAUGGGCGCAAGCAUGAUCCAGCCAUGCCGCGUGCAGGAUGAAGGCCUUCGGGUUGUAAACUGCUUUUGUACGGAACGAAAAGACUCUGGUUAAUACCUGGGGUCCAUGACGGUACCGUAAGAAUAAGCACCGGCUAACUACGUGCCAGCAGCCGCAGUAA